Passer domesticus (house sparrow) is the source of this 1219-nucleotide long non-coding RNA. RefSeq lists it as uncharacterized. The transcript has 6 exons. NCBI's taxonomy places the organism in Eukaryota, Metazoa, Chordata, Aves, Passeriformes, Passeridae. The record is from RefSeq and is a predicted model, not a curated record.
UGGAGACAUCUUCUCCAGGCAAAAAAGGCUGAGGCAAUGCUCCUCUGAUUCUUGAGAAGACAUUUUUCUACAUAGGGGAUCAUUUGUGAUAGAUAGGAGUUCAUGUAUUUCAUAUGCAACUCCUGUCUCUGAACCACCGCACUGAACCAGGCAAUAGACAACAAAUUUGCCACAGGGAACUGUGUCCUCAUGUCACUUGAGCCAUUCCUGACCUCCAGAACUUCCUCCUGAUGCUGCUAAGAUUUAACCUCAUCCAAGGCUUGUAGAAAAUGUUGCUGAUCAUGAUGCUGCAUCAUCCACUCACUUGUGAGAACCCCUUCUUAUGGUUCAAGGCACCACCAAUGCCUCUUUGUGCUGGUGACACCACUGUCCCACUGUCCUGAAGCUGUGUACAGAAUAUGAAUAAAGCUGAAGUGAAAACAUACUAGCAUUAAGGCCAGCUUUCCUGAAUCCUAGAGUUCCUCUACCUGCCAGAGAUGCUUGUGUUUGUAAAUGUGUUAUUUACUACUUUUAAUAUGAAUGCCUGGCAUUUCAAUGGAAUGUGCUGACAGACUACUCAUGUCUCUGGAAAGUUAACAUUACACAAAUCAAAGGUCAGAAUAUGGAAGAGAUCCUCAUGAUUUCUGCAUUCCUGUCAUUAUUGUAACAAUAGCUGUAGUGCACAGAUGUGGCUGAUUCUUCAGAUGCAUCAGGGAAAUCACAUCACACUUCAUGGUGGAGGUGAAAUAAAAACAAUUCAUUUAGAAGAGUUGAUUGAAUUAGGGAUCCUCUGUUCUAACAAAGAAAUAACUGCUGGCAAAAGAGGUGAGACUGCUCUUCACUGAUAUAGAUAAAUUACUAGAGCACACACAGAACCUAUUUUAAGAGGAAUCAAGGCUGAAAUCAUCCAACUGGAGGUCAAUGGUAAUAAACAUAUGGAAACCUUUUGAAUAUUCACAAAUCAAGUGUUACAAAUCCCACAAAAUUCAAAUAUAGAGGUACACUUAAAAUUACAGUGAGAUAUACACAAAGAAUGAUUCUAAACUUCAGUUUAUGAUAAAUAAUAUUAAAUACAUAAUUGAAGUUUAUUUUACUGGGUUAUAUACUGCUCUAUUUUUCUAUAUUGUUUGCUAAGCAUCAUAUUAUAGAUGUCAUAUGAAGCAAUCUUUUAAAUAAUUACUCUGUCAAAAUGGUUUAGCUAGGCACCUUAAAAAACAAUGCUUUGAUUAACAGUUGGAGA